Molecule: long non-coding RNA, 296 nt
Organism: Hyaena hyaena (striped hyena)
Lineage: Eukaryota; Metazoa; Chordata; Mammalia; Carnivora; Hyaenidae
Exons: 3
Source: RefSeq, a predicted model, not a curated record
GACCUCUGCCGCCAGGGGCUGAGGGCUUGGUGUCCUAUCUGUACCGGAGGGAAACACCUGCCAGUCCACCCCUCUGCAAAGUCUAGUUAAGCCUUGAACUUGAAGGAAUCCUCCAGGCUUAGCAGAAGCUACAUCCCGAUUCCUGCAGCUGAACAAUGUAACUGGCUUUUGGACUUUCUAUCCAGUUACCUCCUUGUGAUCUUCAGCAGCUGUGUUCCGGUGCCUUUGUUCAAUAAAGGUAGAGAUAAUAACUGUCUCUGAAAAGAAAAUGUGCCGAAGUUCCCAGGAGAAGUGGU